AGGACGAACGCUGGCGGCGUGCUUAACACAUGCAAGUCGAGCGAGGCCCUUCCUUCGGGAAGGUGCCCUAGCGGCGAACGGGUGAGUAACACGUGGGCAACCUGCCCCUAGCACUGGGAUAACUCCGGGAAACCGGGGCUUAAUACCGGAUAUGACCUUCUUGGGCAUCCUCGAAGGUGUAAAGGAUUCUGGCUAGGGAUGGGCCCGCGGCCUAUCAGCUUGUUGGUGGGGUAAUGGCCUACCAAGGCGACGACGGGUAGCCGGCCUGAGAGGGUGACCGGCCACACUGGGACUGAGACACGGCCCAGACUCCUACGGGAGGCAGCAGUGGGGAAUCUUGCACAAUGGGCGAAAGCCUGAUGCAGCGACGCCGCGUGAGGGAUGACUGCCUUCGGGUUGUAAACCUCUUUUAGUAGGAAGAAGCGAAAGUGACGGUACCUGCAGAAAAGCACCGGCUAACUACGCGCCAGCAGCCGC
This 477-nucleotide ribosomal RNA is filed under the name uncultured bacterium. Its description in RNAcentral is "SSU rRNA". It matches the Rfam family "Bacterial small subunit ribosomal RNA", at positions 26 to 518 of the family's 1533-position model. The record is from RNAcentral.